This 429-nucleotide ribosomal RNA is filed under the name Gemmatimonadota bacterium. RNAcentral describes it as "Gemmatimonadetes bacterium partial 16S ribosomal RNA". It matches the Rfam family "Bacterial small subunit ribosomal RNA", at positions 355 to 776 of the family's 1533-position model. Lineage: Bacteria; Pseudomonadati; Gemmatimonadota. The record is from RNAcentral.
UAGGGAAUCUUCGGCAAUGGACGAAAGUCUGACCGAGCAACGCCGCGUGAGUGAAGAAGGUUUUCGGAUCGUAAAACUCUGUUGUUAGAGAAGAACAAGGACGUUAGUAACUGAACGUCCCCUGACGGUAUCUAACCAGAAAGCCACGGCUAACUACGUGCCAGCAGCCGCGGUAAUACGUAGGUGGCAAGCGUUGUCCGGAUUUAUUGGGCGUAAAGCGAGCGCAGGCGGUUUCUUAAGUCUGAUGUGAAAGCCCCCGGCUCAACCGGGGAGGGUCAUUGGAAACUGGGGUACUUGGGUGCAGAAGAGGAGAGUGGAAUUCCAUGUGUAGCGGUGAAAUGCGUAGAUAUAUGGAGGAACACCAGUGGCGAAGGCGGCUCUCUGGUCUGUAACUGACGCUGAGGCUCGAAAGCGUGGGGAGCAAACAGG